AGGAAUAUUGGUCAAUGGGCGCUAGCCUGAACCAGCCAUGCCGCGUGCAGGAAGACGGCCCUACUGGUUGUAAACUGCUUUUCUGCCGGAAGAAAGUGGCGCACGUGUGCGCCAUUGACGGUACGACAGGAAUAAGCAUCGGCUAACUCCGUGCCAGCAGCCGCGGUAAUACGGAGGAUGCAAGCGUUAUCCGGAUUCAUUGGGUCUAAAGGGUGCGUAGGCGGUGGGAUAAGUCAGUGGUGAAAGCCCGGGGCUCAACUCCGGGAUUGCCAUUGAAACUGUUUCACUUGAGUAUAGUCGAGGACGGCGGAAUGAGUUAUGUAGCGGUGAAAUGCAUAGAUAUAACUCAGAACACCGAUUGCGGAGGCAGUUGUCUAGGCUAUAACUGACGCUGAGGCACGAAAGCGUGGGGAGCGAACAGGAUUAGAUACCCUGGUAGUCCACGCUGUAAACGAUGAUCACUCGUUGUUGGUUACCUAGUAAUCAGUGACUGAGGGAAACCAUUAAGUGAUCCACCUGAGGAAUACGUCGGCAACGAUG
Molecule: ribosomal RNA, 540 nt
Filed under: uncultured bacterium
Lineage: Bacteria
Description: bacterial SSU rRNA
Rfam family: Bacterial small subunit ribosomal RNA
Source: RNAcentral